ACACGUAGCCAAUAUCAUCAGCCGUCGGCGUGUACGUUUUGCAACCCCCGACCUCGACCAGCGUCUCUCCUCCGUUCUUCUGCGCGAUGCUAGAAGGAUAAAACGGCGUCGGUGGCCCGUUGAGACUCGACAUUGAAGCAGACAAGGUGCUGGCGAGGACACCAGAGGCGGCGCUGUUGGCACGUGACAAGUCAUUAUUAUUAUCUUCUUCGCUGUUACCGUUCUCAGCGGCUGCACGCUCGUGCAGAGUCUUGUGGUGCUGCCACGCGUCGGUAAAGCAUUUGGGAGAGCAGUGGUAGCUUUUGGAGACGAGAGCUGGACGCUUCGAGCAGAAGACGCAUUGCAAAGUGGCUUGCUCCGUCGGGUGGACGCUGCAGAUCGUUACUUUCUUAUCGCUCUGUACACGAAACCUAAAUCGAGAAAGAAGGAAUCUUUAAGAUCAAAAUCGAAACUUUGAUGAAACCCAAUUCGGGGAUUGGGUUAAAGGGAGGAGCUUUAUUGUUACCAUCUGUAUCGGAGGAAGUAGCCUUCGAGGGGAGAAGACUCAGGGACAUCUUCGGUGGCGGCGGACUUAUCGGGGCGGCGGACGAGGACGUAAGGGGUUAGCUCGCAGCCCACGAUGGGAAUUUCGGAAGGGAGGUGAACUCGGAUCACGCUAAGCAUUGCAGAGUAGCAGUAGCGAAGAAGAGAAUCGAAUGUGUUGAGUGAGGCUGAUCGAACAUUUACUUUGACCUAAAAACCCUAGAUUUUAUUUGUCUCUCUCAGUAACAAACCAACUUAGAUCUUUGAGAAAAGUAAGAAAAUAAAAGGAAUUGAGAAUUAAAACUUGAAAAUUUGAGAAUCCGAGAAAAAUCUUUUAUUUGUUAGAGUAGAGAUGUGGAUCUUUGAGAAGAGUUCAUGGAUCGAUUCUCACGCUGAUAAUGGGGAAAAAAUAUCAAUCAAAGAGGAUCAAUCGUAUAGAGAAAAUAAAAACUACUAUUACAUUGGAGGACCCAAGAAAAUUAUUUUUAUAUUGAUUUAAUAUUAUAUAAUUUUUUUUGUUGUUUUUCUGUGUGGAGGUAAUUAAAACUUUCAAAGGAAUUUGGUUUUGGCGCUGAAAUUUUGAAGAAAGUAAAGCAAUUUUUUUUAAAAAAAAAACUCAAUUCAUGGAGAAGAGACAAAACUGUUAUUAACCAUUGUACAUUGAGAUUUAAUGGUUUGUAGUUUCCCCUACCGGUAAUAGAAAAAAAAAAACUUGAGAAAAGUAGAUGAGUGCUCAACAACACCUUCACUAAAAUGCAGUGCAAUUUUCUUCUUGGUGAUCAAGAGUCAAACACACCUUGCAUAUUUAUUUCAAUAUAUCCAAGUCUGAUUAAAACCAAGUAAAUAGUCAAACCAUGAUUUGUGUUUGAAUCAGCUGGUUUACGGUUUAAAUCAACCCCUACUACGGUUAUGAAUGGGAGCUUUUUUCAAAAAUUAUAUAAUCACAACUUCAGAGAAAGUCUUGAGUUUGGCAAUUGUACAGAUGGUGUGGUCACUUUCUCAGUACCAAGCAAUCCAAACUUUGAUCAGUCACAUAACUCACAAAACUAUAUUUUUUUGUAUGGUUAAAACUAUAUUUAGCUUCUUGUUCUUUUUCCUUCUCUACUUCUUCUCGCUUUGUAUCUAAAUCUUGAUGUUCAGACGAUCUUUGGAGGCCGAGGCUUGAUGGAGCCUUUUAAGCAGUUGUGGCAGGAGAAAGUGGUCAAGGAGGUGGAGGCGGAGGGGUGAUCGAAGGAAGAGAUUUCAAUGGCUCUUAUCCUCCAACGAGAGAUUACUCAGACUCUUCUCUACCAACUUAGACUUUGUCUCUUUAUCACUCCUCUGUUUCAAUCAUUUCAAUGUGAAAAAAAAAAAAACAAGAAACAGAACAUGUAUCUAGCGCAAUAACUGUAUAACGGCCCGACCACCCACGGCUAAUGGGCCACCCACGUACGCUCUCUCGGUCCGUGGGUCCCAUCCCAUCCCACGGUCGGUCCGUUAAUUUAUGAAGGCUUGAAAUCAUUGUUUACUAACCCUGCAACCAACAUUUUUUCAUUUCCAAAACUUAAAAUGGUGAGCCGAGACAAUACCUCUUGAAGGCAGACAACAUCAGCUCGAUAAGCAACAAUCUCCCUCAACAAAUUCUGCCUUCUAUAAGGCCAAGAAAGAGCCCAAGUAGGACAGUAACUGUAAAGCUCGCUACUCGCAGAAGUAUCAGACAAUAUAUUGUAAGAAAGAACAGUGAACGAUCCUGCAGACUGAAUCCGACCAUCUUGAUCCAAGUGACCACCCACCACAUCAGCUCCAUUAACAGGGAUAAGCCUCCGAGGCCUCGGAGAAGGAGCAGGAAUCACACGCGAAGUCAUAAUCGUACUAGGAUGCCCCACAGACUGCUUACUCUCGGCAACAGCCACCACACACUCGAACUUCAACACGUAGCCAAUAUCAUCAGCCGUCGGCGUGUACGUUUUGCAACCCCCGACCUCGACCAGCGUCUCUCCUCCGUUCUUCUGCGCGAUGCUAGAAGGAUAAAACGGCGUCGGUGGCCCGUUGAGACUCGACAUUGAAGCAGACAAGGUGCUGGCGAGGACACCAGAGGCGGCGCUGUUGGCACGUGACAAGUCAUUAUUAUUAUCUUCUUCGCUGUUACCGUUCUCAGCGGCUGCACGCUCGUGCAGAGUCUUGUGGUGCUGCCACGCGUCGGUAAAGCAUUUGGGAGAGCAGUGG
Molecule: long non-coding RNA, 2727 nt
Filed under: Brassica napus (rape)
Lineage: Eukaryota; Viridiplantae; Streptophyta; Magnoliopsida; Brassicales; Brassicaceae
Description: long non-coding RNA (BNAP_LNC022011)
Source: RNAcentral